GUAUCAGUAGCACCAGUAGCACCACCUGUAUCAGUAGCACCACCUGUAUCAGUAGCACCAGUAGCACCACCUGUAUCAGUAGCACCAGUAGCACCACCACUGAUAAUCCCCUCAGUUUGAAAAAAGAGAUGAAAGCGUUCAUGGAUGAAAGAAACUUGGAUUUCAUAUUUCUCUCUCUCUCUCUCUCUCUCUCUCUCUCUUCUAGUACACUCUAUUGAUAAUUUUCUUUGGAAAGGGAGAGGGAGGAAAGAAGAAUGAGAGAGAGAGAAAAAGAAAAGGCUUAUGCCCCUUUUGGUCUCCAAGGAGGAGGAUCUUCAUUAACCCCCAGGAAAGACGCAGAGGACACAGGAAGAAAGGAGGAGAGAGGAAGAGAGGAGAGAGCAGGGCAGAUCGGGGGAGAGGGCCACAGAGCAAUCACAGACCUCAUUAUGAACACUGAAAGACCUGGCCAGAUGAGAUGGAGGGGAGAGAGAGAGCGAGAGCCACCCGAGGGACACUGAACACACACAGCCUGCAGGCUACAGCUCCACACCAGACAGAGCAUGGGCUGUUCACUACAUUGGCACUUUGUGAUGGCACCUCCGCACUGUUCGUCCAACCAGGAUGAAGAGCAGUGCUGCCAGCAGGAAGAAGAAGACGGAGAAGGGAGCAAACAGGAAGGAGGUGGUAGACUGUUGGACACUGAGAGGAGUGUUGUUGCUGGGCAGCGUAGUCCUCCAGAGUGUCCAGUACCUGGGUCCAGACUACAUACAUCAUUAUUACAACCAGGAGACAUAGACCUGGAGAGAGGAGAGGGAGAGGGGGAGGAAGAGGGAAACAUUUAAACUCAAUAAAAGUUAAUAGAACAUAAAUGCGUCUCCUGAUUAGUGGCAACUUGUCAUUCAGGGCAGGUGGGGUUGCCUGUUUGCAUGUUAUUUUGGCAUUAAUA
Long non-coding RNA from Oncorhynchus tshawytscha (Chinook salmon), 928 nucleotides. RefSeq lists it as uncharacterized. The transcript has 4 exons. Lineage: Eukaryota; Metazoa; Chordata; Actinopteri; Salmoniformes; Salmonidae. The record is from RefSeq and is a predicted model, not a curated record.